UAUUAAAGAUUUCAUUAAUUUUUACUGUUAAAAAUUGAUAUGGCUGACAGAAUAACCUUACAAUUACACGUGUCGUGCCAUGUAUACCUCAUUCUAACAUAUAGGGACCAGUUUUUAAUAGUAGAAAUAGAUGAAUUUUUUAACA
Molecule: non-coding RNA, 145 nt
Organism: Gossypium raimondii (Peruvian cotton)
Lineage: Eukaryota; Viridiplantae; Streptophyta; Magnoliopsida; Malvales; Malvaceae
Source: Rfam